This 253-nucleotide ribosomal RNA is filed under the name uncultured bacterium. RNAcentral describes it as "partial 16S ribosomal RNA". It matches the Rfam family "Bacterial small subunit ribosomal RNA", at positions 524 to 776 of the family's 1533-position model. The record is from RNAcentral.
UACGGAGGAUCCAAGCGUUGUCCGGAUUUAUUGGGUUUAAAGGGUCCGUAGGCGGUUUAAUAAGUCAGUGGUGAAAGCCCAUCGCUCAACGGUGGAACGGCCAUUGAUACUGUUAAACUUGAAUUAUUAGGAAGUAACUAGAAUAUGUAGUGUAGCGGUGAAAUGCUUAGAGAUUACAUGGAAUACCAAUUGCGAAGGCAGGUUACUACUAAUGGAUUGACGCUGAUGGACGAAAGCGUGGGUAGCGAACAGG